CAGGGUAUCUAAUCCUGUUUGCUCCCCACGCUUUCGCACAUGAGCGUCAGUAUCGGGCCAGUUGGCCGCCUUCGCCACUGGUGUUCUUCCUAAUAUCUACGAAUUUCACCUCUACACUAGGAAUUCCGCCAACCUCUCCCGAACUCGAAGACAGACAGUAUCAAAGGCAAUUCCGAAGUUGAGCUCCGGGAUUUCACCCCUGACUUAUCAAUCCGCCUGCGUGCGCUUUACGCCCAGUGAUUCCGAACAACGCUAGCCCCCUUCGUAUUACCGCGGCUGCUGGCACGAAGUUAGCCGGGGCUUAUUCUGCGGGUACCGUCAUUAUCGUCCCCGCCAAAAGAGCCUUACAACCCUAAGGCCUUCUUCACUCACGCGGCAUGGCUGGAUCAGGGUUGCCCCCAUUGUCCAAUAUUCCCCACUGCUGCCUCCCGUAGGAGUCUGGGCCGUGUCUCAGUCCCAGUGUGGCUGAUCAUCCUCUCAGACCAGCUAUGGAUCGUAGCCUUGGUAGGCCUUUACCCUACCAACUAGCUAAUCCAACGCGGGCCCAUCCUUUGGCGAUAAAUCUUUCUCCCGAAGGACUUAUACGGUAUUAGCUUCGGUUUCCCGAAGUUAUUCCGUACCAAAGGGAAGGUUCCCACGCGUUACUCACCCGUCUGCCACUCACCUUGCGGUGCGUUCGACUUGCAUGUGUUAAGCCUGACGGCAGCGUUCGUUCUGAGCCAGGAUCAAACUCU
This 734-nucleotide ribosomal RNA is filed under the name uncultured bacterium. RNAcentral's name for it is "partial 16S ribosomal RNA". The record is from RNAcentral.